RNAcentral lists this long non-coding RNA (26795 nucleotides) under Marmota monax (woodchuck). The stretch from base 6942 to 7013 matches the Rfam family "tRNA". The record is from RNAcentral. Lineage: Eukaryota; Metazoa; Chordata; Mammalia; Rodentia; Sciuridae.
CUGCUCGACCCGCGGCAGGCGCCUCACUGAGCAUGCCCAGAGGCUGCCGGACCAGACCCCAGCAGCGGGAUUGACGCUCGGCGCGGGUGGGCAGAACCGCGAUCUGGAGGAUUUUAGGAGUCCUUCUCGUCUCUACCCCAGAAUUGGCGUUACGACACCACAGAAGGAGUUUUGCCUUUGUUCAUUUAACGCGCGCCCCAGAGCUUCCCGGGGGCGGGCUUAUAGACCCCUGGGGCUUCCAGGUGAGAGGAGCUGUCAGGUGCUGGGAGAGUUCGGAGGCAGAAAUGGGAGGCCACCCAUUCUGUGCAAAUCAACUCCCUGCAACCCCUACCCUACGUAAGAACAAGUAAAAGCAGGUAGCUCGAUAGAAGACGCCAUCUUCAAAGUAGUCUUUCAAGUUUAGCCCCAAUCCCCAGUUGCUGCCUCUAAAACUGCUCUUUCAAAAGAAUUUUGGAACAAAUUUCAGGCUGUUGGGAAAGAAUAAUAAUUUUUUUUAAGUGAACACGGUUUUUGUUGUUUUUUUGUUUUUUUUUUUUUUUUUUUUAGAAAUAAGCAAGUAUCUCUUUCCCCUUUCCCUCCUUCCUUCAUACUUGAGCUCUAGGUAGCGCCCGCCCCAAGUCCUGAGUGGAUAAUUAACUAGGUCAAAGGCAGAAGGAAGAGGUGGAUGCAUACUGGGACCUAAGGGAGUUUCUGUAAAGGGAUUGUAUCAUCGAUGCCUGUGUUUGCCGCUGGCAUCUUAUACGAAAACUGGACCCGACCUUACAUGUAAAAAUUAAGCAAGAAAAUUUUAGGUAAUAUCUUAGUUAUCUGGUUAAGGGAAGUGUCUUGCAAGAACCUGUACCGGCCACCAGAAACCCACACACCUGGAAGAAAUGUAAAAUCUGACCUGGAUUUCCUAUUCCCAGGGCCCCGCCCUUCAGAAUUGCGCAGACUCAGUGGCUGCCUCUCUAAGUCUUCCUACUCCCGCCUCCUGCAGCUGUCAAAAUCCGGAUUCCAGACUUCCUUAGGGCCCGGGACACAGGUCUACGCAUGCUCAGCAUCAACCCCGGUCGAACACAAACACGUGCUUCCAGCCUAUCGGCGCCUGCGCCGUAGCAACCCCAGUUGGUGCCCUUAGGACGCUUCGUGUGCUCUGACUCCAGCGGUCUGUGUGAGCCCAUUUGUGAUCCGCGUCCUGCGCAUACACCUUGCGAGUGACAGAGCCAUGGGUCUGACCUCCCAUUCCAGCAUACGAGGUGAAGUGGGGCCUGGGAGCGGGUGAGGCUGGCGGCCUGCGCACCGGUUGCAGCGCCCGCAGCUCUUGUGGUUUGUUAUCGCUGUCCUACACGCCUGCAGGUCCUUUAACCUUGAGAUGCAGAAGGACAUGCGCUCCGCCCGGCUGCGGGCUCUGGACUGGACCAGCGAAAGGAGCGAGGUCAGGGUGCGGAUGGAUGGUCACUAGGCAUAAGUAGCGCGGGGCCAUGCAGUGUCUACGCAGCUCUGAUACUUGUUUCCCUCAACUAGUCAAACCCUAACACAUAGUGAUCUCGCUGCUGGCUUUUCUUGUUUUCCCCCAAAUUGCUUUUGUGUCCUUAAAUCGCUGGGCCUAGAAAAAGGAAAGGUGAGCGGUAAAACAAACAUGUUCUCCUUCUCACGUUGAAAUCGACAUGGAGCCAGAAAGUUAAUUUCCUGCAAUCCUGAAGCCGUGCAUGACUAAUCACAUCUUAAUUUUGCAGAUUUUUUUAAGGUGAAGAAACCCAAUCCGAGGUCUUCUGUUUUCCCAGUUUUUUAUUAUGCCCCUUGCAUCUGGCGUUCGGUGGCUGUAGUCCAAGAGAGAGGAUUAAAAACCAAGUUCCUUGAUCCUUCCUUCAGCUUCCACAGUCGUCCUUCUCUGUACUAGUACCUAACGUUUGGAAACAAUACUUUGCAGAAAGUCCAAUUAAAGUUAAGAGAAUUAUUUAUAAAAUUUGCCUAGUGUGGAGUUCACUUUAUAACAAUAUUAAUGAUACUAUAUUUGUUAAUAUAACACCCUCCUCAUGCUACAUGAUAUAUAUGAUCUGUCUGUCCUGGUAUAAAAUGCAAAGUUUGGCUACCUGUAAAUGUAUCCAGUAAAGGUAAAGAGCUUGUCCAGAAGUAAUUAAAAUUGGUACAAUUGAUUCAUUCAGUAAAUUCUGAGCAUUUGUAGUACCAGGUUCUGUAAUAAGCCCCUACUAACUUGAACUCUAAUUUUGUAUUAGAGAUAGUCCGUAAGUUGGAGAGUUCUACUUCUUUUGACAACAUUUACUUGGAAGAUAGGGGGGAAAAGUUCUAAGUUAAUAAUAAUAAAAAGGUGAUUAUUUGCAAAAAUUAUUUGAAAGGAUCAUCAUCUGGAGGCAUCUUGUACAUUUAAAAUAUCGAGUUAUAUCUAUGGUUUUGGUUUUUAUAAAAACUUUUGUCAAGAAUAAGACUUUGGAUAAAAUAAAAUGCUCAUGUGACUUAUGCUGCCAAUAUUUUUAAUUUUAUAGAAAGACUGCACAUGGGCCAAAAGAUUCCAAAAUGUGUUUUUGUUUAAAAUAUGGGACCAUUUUGUGUAAAUAGGCAUUGAAAUCUAUUUAACUCUAUUUCAGGGGCUUGUUUGUUAUGGUAUUAGGGAUUGAAUCCAGGGCCUCAUGCACGGUAGGCAAGUGAUCUACAUCCCAAACCCUUCAUCUGUUUUUAUUUUGAGAUAGGUCUCUCUAAAUUGUCCAGGCUAGUCAAACUUUUCAUCUUCCUGCCCAGGCCUCUUGAAUAACCAUGACCACAAUUGAACUUCAUUUAGGUAGCAUUUUGUGGAAUCCCUAGGACUUCUUAUCACUAUGUACAGGUUAAUUUUUCCUGUAAGCAAGACAAGUGUUUUGUUUUUGUUUUUUAAGUCUUAACAUAAGGGAGUUCAGGGAUGAGUUUUCCAUUAGUUUAUCAUUGAGUAAAGGAUACAAAUCACUUGGUGAAGCUGAUUGUUAACUAAAACUUUAAGUACACAACUUCAUUAUGUGGAGUAACUACUUUUUAUUUCACUGAUAAGCAUAAAGGUUGUUGUGGGGGCCCAUAGGGAGAGGCCCAGAGGCUUUGUAAAUCUCUCUGACAGUACUUCCUUCUCAAAUAUAGUGGCUGGCAAAGUAGAAACAGAAAAGAAUUUGGUUUGGAAGAAUAAACAUCCCUACACCCCAUUAAAGUUUGUUUCUUCUCUCUCUCUUCUCUCUCUCCCUCUCUCUCCUCUUUCUCCUCUCUCUCCUCUCUCUUCUUUUUUUUUUUGAGGUACUAGGAAUCAGAGCCUCAAGUAUACCAGCCCUCUACUCAAUUUUCAAAACAAACCUAUUAGCUUCUAUAGAUUUGAAGAUCAAUUUGAUCUUUUAAUUUAGGGGAAGAUGAUCAUACCUGUUCUCAAUUAAGUGAAUUCAUAAUUAUAAAAGGCUUAGAACAUAGUAUGUGACAAUGAUAACUUAUAUGUUGAAUAAAAAGUAAAAGUAUAUGUAUAUACAUUCUGAAUUCUUUAUAUUCAGGGAAAAAGAAAAAGUAAUGAGUGGGUUAUAAAUAAGAGUAAAUGGGGAUCAGGCCAGGACUGGAAGUAGGCAAUGAGAAUGAGUGAUUGCAAUUGAAAUCCUGUCAAAGAUCUUUGCCCAUGUGAUGGGUCUUCUUGUCGAUUUGGUUGAUGAGACCAUUAAUUCAUUAUAGUUUUUAGCACUAAGUGACAUUUCCUGCCUGCUUCCCUAAUCUCUUAGGAUUCUUCCCUGUGCCUUCUAAAUGGACCUUCCAGAACUGACCGGGCUAUUUAAUAUCUCCAGGAGACAUUGAAUCCAUUCUCAUCCUUAACCCCUUUGCUUCUGUUGACAAGAAAAAUAUAAUUCUUGAGGCCAUUCUCUUCCCAUGUCCUCCAGAUACCUUAAUUCUUGCCUCACUGAUACUUAUCACUUUUAAAUCUUUAGCCCCUCAUAAUGGUUUUCUUCUCUUCAGCCUAAUUUGCCUUCAUCUUUAGAAAGAAAAAACAAAAGCAAAAAACAAUUGAACUAAGUAUUUUAAAAGGGCUUCUUUAACCAGACUUUCCUUUAAAACAUUUAUACUCACAAGUGGCUUUACCCCCAAGUUACAAAAUAGAGAUUUAUCUGUUCACCUUCCCCUUCAUUAUCCAUCCCAAACCCUAAUCAUUAGAAUGCAUAUAACCCAAACCUUAUGUAAAUCUUGCCUGACUUUUGUAUCCUUAUAUAUUUUAUUGAAACUAAUUCAUAAUUUCCCACCUCAUUUAACUUCACCAAAUUGAUUGAGUAAAUUCAUUAAUUCCUUGAAAGUAAUGCUUUAAGGAAUUCUUUUUUUCUGAGAAAGGAUAUGUAAAUCAUACUGAGGAUAAAGCUGUAGCUCCGAUAGGUUAUAAACAACAAAUAAAUAAUUAGAGGGUGGGAUUUGGAGCUAUGGGCAAAACAGGAUUGGUCAUCUGUUGAUAAUUGUUGGAACUUGAUGAGGGUAAAUGAAUUUUUCUUUAUCCUGCAUGGUCUCUAUGUAUGUCUGAAAUAUUCCAUACUAAAGGGUUUUUUGUUUGUUGGGGUUUUUUUUAUUUUAUUUUUUUGUUUUUUAUCUGAAGAAGUAAAUUCCACACUUUACUACAGUAGGUUAAAAGAAAGGCAAAGAUAAGUCAUUUGGUAUAAGGGUAAGACAUUUGGCAUAGGAAUGAUAAGACAGUUAAGGCCGGACAGAUGAAAUUGCAAAUUCAAAUUAGUCCAUUACUUCUACUCAACUCACAUUGAACUCCACCAGUACACCAAGCCUUGAGAAGAAAACAUUACCAGAUGCCACCUCCAGUCUGUGCAAAAUCUCAGGGAAGACUGGGUUUCAACACAGCUCCCUUCCCCCUCUCCUGAUAGACAAGAAUGUUCUGAUUCUGUGGCAGUUGACAGUGGGUAGGAGAAGGCAGUUUGAGGCAGAAAAGGGGCUGAAGGAAAAGAAGAAGGGUGAGAUUUCCAAGUUAAAGAAAAAAAUAAUCCUCAUGAUAAAGAAAAUCUGAGGAAUGGAUUGUAAAUAAGGGUGGGGGAUUCGGGGUCAAGUCUGUGUUUUCUCCAUCUCCGAAUAAUUUUGAGAGAAAUCUAGAGAUUAUAUAAUAGUCCAAGGGAAGAAAGAGGGAGUUUAGAAAUGUUUAUGUUCUUUAAUGGAAGAUAAUUUAUUAAAAAGAAUUGGGUAGAGUGGGUUCAACCUAACUAUAGGAAUUACUGCACCAUGAGAAAUGUCUACAGAAAAAGCAAAAUGAAGAUAAGCCAGAAAAGGGGGGAAAAAUGAAAUGCUGAAGAUUUGGGGCUACCCAGUUCUAACCCAGAGUCUGAAAGAUGCCAACUGACAAAAUAUUUUUAAGUAUUGAGUCUUGGUAAAGACCCUUUUUGCCUCUGAGGUUAUUCUUUCCCCACCUCUGCUUAUUCUAGGACUUGAACCCAGGAACAUUCUACCACAGAGCUACAUUCCCAGUCCUUUGUGUAUUUUAUUUUGAGGCAGGGUUUCUCUAAAUGGCUCAGUCUGACCUUGAACUUGUGAUCUUCUUGCUUCCACCUCUGGAGUUGCUGGUAUUAUAGGCAGCAUGACUAUUCUUAAUAGGCAUAUAUCGAGUACUAAAUGUCACUUGGGUUUUGUUAUUUGUUUACUCAAGUUUUCAGUUUUUUCUCUCCCCUAAUUGUUGAUUUUUAAAUCUACCAUCAUUUUUGUUUAUCUCUGUCUAGCUUUUUUUUCCUUCUUUUCCCUAGAGUAGUCAGUGAAAUUCAGCUUUUUGCCAGAAGAGACUGAUUCAGGCCACAGUAAUGAAAUGAUAAAAUAGCAACUCUUUUGUUACUUCUGGGAACUCUUACAUUUGUCCCCAGUGAGAUUAGAGAAUUAGAAUUUGGGAAGAGAAAAAAGGGAAAUAGAAUUGGGGAAGAGAAAAAAGGGAAAAUCUUAAGAUAUUAUCUAGCUCUGUGAUUCUAAAAUACUUAUUUGGAGCAAAUACAAAGCUAUUUUUCUAACACACAUGGUACUGUGAUAAUUGCUUACAGCAUGAGUGACCCGUGAUGGGGGUAGAGUAUAUAUUUUGAUUUCCCCAUGGGGCAGCCACUCAGCACUCAUUUAUUUAAAUGAUACUUGCAGUAUUGCCUCUUUUCUAUGCCAGUUAUUCUGUCAUUUAUUUUACCAUCACAAAAUCCAGGGGAGGUUAAAAAAAAUUUUUUUUAAGUCACUAAAUGAAUUCAGUUGGUAAUAUGAGAAAAGAAUGUUCUAACAGCUAGGAGAGAUUCUUUUGACCUGUUGUGAGUUUGAUGUUGAAGUUCCUAUAGGAUUUUUUUUAAUAUCAUUAAACUAAUAACUAGCCAACUCAGGAUUUUUUGCAAUAGAUAAGCACCAUUAAAACAGGUAUAUCAGAAAGCACUUCCCAAUUCACGUAAAAAAGUAAAAUAUAAGAUUCACUUUUAGUGAGUUGUGUUAUUUAGUCUUCUGGAAUAUUGACCUCUUUUAAGUUUGUACUGAAGACAACAUUCAGCAAACAUUACUGAGCAUAUCCUGUGCAUAGCAAUGUUUUAGUCCAUUUUUAAAUAGAUACUUUAGCUAUUCAGAGUGUCUUUCCAUUAGCUAAGUAGAUUACUGUAGCUCCUAACAGAGAAUAUUUUUUCAAGAAAGUUCCAUAGUAAAUAAUGCAUCAAAAAGGAAGAUCACAGAUAAAGGUAGCAAUCACAGCAAAGUUGCAGCCCUGCUUGGAAAUACCACAGGAUAAUACCAUGAAAUAGCACUAAAAUUUCAAGAGAAAUCUACAGGAAGAGUGUACUUUAAAACAACUUCUGAUGAGGCCAAAGGUUUAACACUGUCAAAUGACUUGUUUUCUCAGUCAUGCAGCACCUGGGAAGGACAAACUGUUAAUGUUUAUCUUAGGGGGUUAUAGCAAUGAAAGAAUGGAAGUGUUGUGGAAAAGAAAACAAUCUAAAUUACUUUGGAAAGAAUACUGGGCUAGGGAUGUAGCUCAGUAGUAGAGCACUUGCCUAGCAUACAAGAGGCUCAAGGUUCGAUCCCCAGUAUUACAAAAAAACAAAAAAAUACUGAAGUUGAAAAUAAAAUCCAUAGAACAUGGUAAUUAGAAACAUUGGUUAAAAACAAAAUUAGAAAAAUUUGUUAGACAAAAUUAUUAAGUAACUGGAAGUCCAAGAUAAAAGGAAUUAAGUAUGGGAAUGAUAUAUUUCCUUUCCAGUUUAGAGUUAAUAUUGAGCUACAAUUACAUGUAAGACAAUGUUAGGUAUGGUGACUGAUCACAUUAGUGAAAUAGGAAAUAUGACCACAGUAAUGCAAAUAAGCCACAUGGUUACUAACUCCUUAUGUGUUUUUAUUUGGCCUUGGAAUGUGUUUUUUGUACUUAAUCUCCCUAGGGCUUUAUUUGAUAGUCUGGGAACUUAUUUCAAACACUGUGAAGAUGUGACUCAGGAAGUGCUGAGAAGCAGUGCACUGUGUUUUUCCUGACCCCUGUUCAACAUCAUCCUGCAGCCCACUCCAUGCUGAGAAUAGACAACUCUCAUCUGAGGCUGAGACUAACCAGAUUAUGCAGAACUUUCUUCUCUCCAUCACUGCCUGGAGCUGGGGUAGUCAUUAAGCAUUUGGGUUUCUAAGAAUUCCUUGAAGAGCUAUGCAAAGAGAAUAAGUAAAUGGCCUGUUAGUCAAACACAUUUAUUACUAUUAUAAUUAGAAAGGAGAAUAAUAUCAUUAAAUUAAAAAUGGAGUUUGUGGGGAAUUCAGAUAAUCAUCCACUUGUGGUUAAUAGAAAUUUGAAUUUAUUAAAUGAGACUAAUUAUAUUAAUCACAUUUUAUGUGAAAUUUGUAUGUUCUGAUUUUUAUUUUAAUGAGAAAGCACUUUGAAACUUUAGAAUUCUGCAAGAUAUAUUCCUUUGAAUGUUUAGCUUUAGGAGUGGUUUUGUUUUGUGUUCUUUUUGUGUUUUUUCUUUGAAUACUGAUUCUAUGUGUAAUUAGAAUUAAGUUUUGAUAAAUAAAAUCAUUUUAAAAUCACUAAGGAACUAGCUAUUUAAAUGAACACUAAUGAGUCAUUUUGCUAACGUAAUCUCCUCCUGUUUUAUUGUUUGUUUGUUUGUAAUCUAAAAUUUUACUUUGCAGGUUUUGUGUUUUCUUUUAAGCAGUGUAUACCUGCAGGCUCAAAUUAUUUAAAAAUCUGUUUAUGAACACUUUGAGAAAGAUUAAGCCUUGUUUUUGCUUCUCUGUCUUAAAGAAGGGAAAAUAACCAUUGUUUCCCUCUUCUAUCUUAAUUUCACUUUCAUCACUCAACAGAAAAUAUAUAACUGCCUUAGACCUUUGUUGGGACUUUCCCCAGCCCUCACUAUUACACCAGCAUGUUCUGGUCAUUUUGGUAACAUUGAAAAUCUUUGAUUGUUGCACUCCUUAAUAUUCAAAAACUGAAUUUCCUAAACAUUUGUGAAUGAUUUUUAGUGUGUAUUUUGGUUUGGGUAAUUAUUCCUCUUUUUCUUCCCUGCCCCAGUUGAAUGGAUUGCAGCAGUUACCAUUGCUGCCGGGACGGCUGCAAUUGGUUACUUAGCUUACAAGAGAUUCUAUGUCAAAGAUCAUAGCAAUAAAGCAAUGGUAAACCUUCACAUCCAGAAAGACAAUCCCAAGAUAGUACAUGCUUUUGACAUGGAGGAUCUGGGAGAUAAAGCUGUGUUCUGCCGUUGCUGGAGGUCCAAAAAGGUAAGGAUAAUAGGUCAUACAAAACUGUUAUCAAUGUAACAUUUCUUUUUAAUCUACUCUGUCAAACUUGUAUUACCAGAUUGUGAAGACACCCUUUUUUCUUUUUUUUUUUUUUUUAAUUGCAUCCUGUUCUUCUGUUUUCCAUAUAUUUACUACUAACAUAUAUAUAACUACCAUUCAGUCAAAUUAUACCAUACCCUCAAUUGAGUUCAGGUGAAUGCAACCAUAUUCUUGACCAAAUAAAAGAGAAAAAUCUCUUUAAUUUACUCUUAGGAUUUCCUCCCCAAGUGGAUCUUAGUUUCUUCUAUCCCAGGAAAUGGGAGUGUGCAGCUUGAGUACAACAAGAAACAAAAGAAAUACUUUUUUUUUUUUUUUUUUUUUAAGAUUAACAGCUCUGGAUACUAGGACAAGUUUUUAGAAAUUUCAAAAGAAACUUUUGAAAAUUACCCUAUCUUAUUGGCAUCCCAAACCUUCUAUCAGCUGUUAACUCCUUUAAUUAAAAAUCUAACAAUACAAGAUUCUUUAAAAUCUUAUUUAUUUUAUGAGAAUUGUAUUUCAGAUUUCUUGGGGAAAUAUCACCUACGGUACCUUUUCAGGUUUAGAUAUGAUGGCAGCUAGUGAGCCAGACAAUAGAAUCCUCUCCUGGGUUCAUCUUUUUCUUGAAUGACUUCAGAAUUUCUGGUAUAUUGUUAGAAAUACAGUGAAAACAUCGUAUGUGCUACCAUUAUUAGCAUUCAAGUAAAAUUUGUUUCACCAAAAAUAAUAGUAAAAGAUUCCAAAAAAACUGAUGUUUCUAGGGUGGGGAUGUAGCUUAAUAUUAGAGUUCUUGCCUAGCAUGCACAAAGCCAUGGGUUUAACCAAGUUCUGCCAAAAAAAAAAAAAUAAUUAAAAGUGUUCAUUUUUGAAAGUAUAUUAUGUUGGUGACCCUUCCCACAGUGAAGAACCAUUUAAUGAAUCAUAUUAUCAAAAAUGUGGAAGAGGGCUGGAAUUGUGGCCAGUGCUAGAGUGCUUGCCUAGGAUGUGUGAGGCACUGGGUUCAAUUCUCAGCACUGCAUAUAAAUAAAUAAAGUCCAUUGACAGCUAAAAAAAAUUUUUUUAAAUGUGGAAGAAACUGUGAGCUUGGUUCUAAAAAGUAUAUUUCUCGAAUCUAUUUCUCCCAAAUGAUCUAUGUACAAUCCAGUGAUUCAGAGCUAGAUUUUGUUACUGUGUUCAGAAAUUGAUGAAUAUAUGGAAUAUGAACCAAAAAUUAACAGACCCAUUACAACAAAUUGUACCUUAAGAAUAACACUGUAUAUUUAGAAUAGGCUUCCUAGUAAGUACUUGUGGGGUUGCUAGAAAAUAAUCUCUUAAUAGUAUUCCAUAGGCUAAACUUGGUUUAUUUUUUUAAACAAACCUUGUCUAUAGUAGGUGCCUCUCUUUUUGCUCAUUAAAAUAUGAAAAAUAAUGCAUUUCAAAAUUACAGAAUUUCUGUUGGUGUUGCAAUAGAUCUUCAGUUAAUGAUCUUAAAUAUAAGUUCAUUUACUGCUUACUAUAUAUAUGUACAUAUAUAGUAAAACAGUAGUUUUCUUGGAAGAGUAUAAUAAAUGCAAUACAAAUGUUCUAAAUGAGAGAAAAGAAAGAGCUUACACCAUGGACUAAAAUUUUCUGGGAAAGCAUAAUAAUUUAUGUUUGGGAGUUAAAUUUCCCCUGAAAAGAUAGGUGGUAUAUGAAUAUGCUGCAAGUAUUCGGAACCCAUUUUCAAAAUCUUCAAUAAAAGGCUCAUAUGAGGAAAGGGGUAUUGGGUGAAAACCCUAGUCUGGUCCUUGCACGAGCCCCUCUUUCCCCCAGGGAAUAAAUCUAAAUUGAGGAGAAUCUGAGUGACCGUGUGAGGAAUUUGUCCUUCCAGGCAUGCAGAAGUGGUAGGAUACAUAGUUUUCAGCAGGGAUUUCAGAUAUAAAGUUAUAAUACUUACAUCAGAGUGUUAGCUGUAUAAGUGUGUGUCCGGGGGUGGGGGGACAAACAGUUAAACAUUUUGAGGGAAAUAUCAGCCAAAUUUAGUGACUUGUGUUUGGAUGACUGGGGGAGCAAAACUAAAGGAACCAAGUGUGGGAAUUAGAAAGAUUAUGUCAUUAACAAAAAUAAGGAAUUCAGGUAAAAACCCGAUUUUCCAGAACAGCAAUAACAAGUUUAAUUUCAAAGAGUGUAUUUGAGGUGACAGUUGAAUGGAAAUGUACAGCAGAUGAUCUAAAAUGUGGGAGUACAGCUGAGACAUCAGGGUUGGAGAUAGAAAUCAGAAAAACUGAUGAGUCGAGUGUAAGAAUGUAACUGAUCCUUGGUACUGAUAAAAAUCAAAAGCUAAGUAUGAAAUCUUAGAGAAUUUUUUGCAUUUUGGAAAGAGGAACAAGAGUCAAUUGAGGGGGCUGGGGUUGUGGCUCAGCGGUAAAGUGCUUGCCUAGCACGUGCGAGGCCCUAGGUUCGAUCCUCAGCACCACAUGAAAAUAAAUAAGUAAAAUAAAGGUAUUGUGUCCAACUACAUCUAAAAAAUAAAUAUUUAAAAAAAAAUAAAAAUAAAAAUAAAAAAAAAGAGUCAAUUGAGGAGGUGAAAUAGGCCAGAGGGAUUACAAUAAAACUAAAAAUAUUGUGGCUUUAAAGUGGAAAUGGAAAAUUCUCAAAGAUUAUUAGUGAACAUCUGCCUAUACAAAAACAAAAACAAUCAGGUGAAUAAACUAUUGUAGUAGAACAGUUGGAUUAAGCAAGUAGGCAUCUGACCUUUGGUGUCAUUUCAACAGAAUGAUUAAACACUGUGUCUAAGUAGGUUAAAAUGUGAGUUACUAAUAAAGAAAUGCUAUAAGUCUGAGUAUAUGUCAAAAUUACAGUAAAUAUAAAUAGUGAAGGAAAGAAAAAUAAGGUAACUGCUUGAGGGAACUUUAAUAAAGCAUCACUUUGAGGUAAGGAGAGUUUUCCUUUGAUUGGGUUUUCCGAGAGGUAAAAGUGUCCAAUAAAGUAAAUAUGGAUUUUCUUCAACUAAGAUCUCAAUUUUUAUGACAAGAAGGAUCAAGAAUGGACACAAGCUAGUGGUUUAAAUGUUUAUUAGACUUUAUAAUUCAACAAAACAUUCCACUAUUAUUCUUUCAUUUUAUAGAGUUCCCAGAGGGUUAGAAGAGGGACCGCCAUUUCCCAUGGGGAAACUUCAAGAAAUGCCAGAUGACUUUUUGUGUAGGGAGGUGGGGAGUCUAUGGGCAUUCAGUAAUCCUCUUUGCAUGUAGGAUUUGCCAGUUACGAAUUUUCACUUGAGUCUUGGGUACUUGUUAUUCCUGCAUGACUCAAUUAAGGAUUCACUUUGAAUAUAUUCAAGUUAAUGAAUGUUCUUACUCUUCAGACACCUUUGGAAACUCCCCACAUUUCUCAGGUUCCAAAGGUUAUCACACAGCUGCCAAGUGACACAUUUACUGGCUGACUAACAUAAGACUUAAAAUUAACACCUUUGUUGAAAUGGUUGUAUUGAAUUAUAUUCAUUUUUCCCUCAUUCAAACCAGUUGUAUUUAUAAAUAACAAAAUCUAAGCUCCUUUUUACCAAUCAAAAAAUAUCGUGUGAUACAUAUAUUCUUAAGAUGCAAUCACCCAUACCUAAUUGAAUCAGAUCUCUUACUGAUGCACAGUAAUUACACUGUUUAACAUACUCCAUUCCUUCUCUUUCCAGACUUAAUAUGCUGUCUGCUGUUUCAGAAACUGGCCUAUUUUGUAGUAUUAUACAAAAGGGCUAUCCAUAUUUUAAGUAAAAAUGAAAUGAACCAGUACACAAGAGAUUAAAGUAACUUUAGGGAAAGGUACUAUUUGGGAUAGUGGUGUUUUGAAAAGGGGUGAAAGGAAAAGAGAAUAAGAGGAUAAAUGUGAAACUCUGCCUUAUAAGAGAUGGUCUCACUUUCAAAAAGAAAAUGAAAGAAGUUUGUUUGAGGGAAGAGUAUGCACCAUAGUUUUGCUAAAUUUCUGUCAUCCCCCACCCCCCACAUCAAGUAGUGUGUAGAAUUAUUUUCUUUCAUUUAUAACCUGGGGAGUUUGAGUUCUUAAUUUUGUAGGUAGUGGUGACAGCAGGCUUCUGUUUUGGUGAAAGUGUAUGUGUAUGAAUGAAAGAGAGAAAGCUUCCAUCCUAUUAAUGGUUUAGUAGUGGGUUGUAUUGUACUGAGUCCAUUUUUUCAUAGAAGCAAUAUUCCCAAUGUUAGAUCUUUUGAAAACCCAAUUUUGGAUUUAUGGUCUUGUAAAAUCUUAAUUUCUCUAUAUGUAUUUUCAUAUUAUAUCCACUAUCUUGUGUUUUAUUAAAUUAAGGACAUAAAAUGAGUAAAAAAUGUCAUAUUGUUCUCUAAGGUAGUGUCAAAGAUCUCAUUACUUUUAACUUUUUUUCUCAACCAAAGUAAUCAUAUUUCUCAGUUCAGAUAAUGGUAAUGAGCCAAAAUGACCUCAAGUAACUUCCUGGGAACAUAGCAACAAAACUCCCAUUAAAAAUACAAAGUUUAGGGCUGGGGUAUAGCUUAGUGGUAGAGUUCUUGUGUAGUAGGUACAAGGUCCUAGAUUUAAUCCCCAGCACCACACACACAAAAAAAUAAUAAUAAUAAAUAAAGUUUGGAAGAUAAUGUGAUAGUUUCUUUUUUUAAGUGUUUCAGAUAGAAGACACAGAGAAGAGCAUUUAUUUCUAUUUUGAAACUUCUUGAAAAAGACACAAGAUGUAAGGGUCAUUAAAAAAAUAAAUCUUGUGCCUUGUGUUUUUUAUGAAGACCCUGAGAGUGUUACUGUCUUUCCAAGGAAAGAGCAAGGAUCUUUGAUAUUUUUGUGCUUACUCUUUCAUUCUAACCUUUUCUCACACUCUUCUUCCCAGUUUUAAAGAUUUAUAGUUUUCAUAUUGGGUUAAUAGUAUUUAUUUUAUGUACAUCCAGGAAAUUGAGGCAAUUUGAUUAACAAACUUUCUCUGGGUUUUGAUAAUAAAGAAAUACUGGCAUCUUACAAGAAAUUUGGCAGUAUGUCAACUGAAUUAAAAUACCCUUUGAGUUUUUUGUUUAAGUUCUUUACUUGAGGGCUGGGGAUGUGGCUCAAGUGGUAGCGCGCUCGCCUGGCGUGCGUGCGGCCCGGGUUCGAUCCUCAGCACCACAUACAAAGAUGUUGUGUCCGCCGAAAACUAAAAAAUAAAUAUUAAAAAAAAAAAAAAAAGUUCUUUACUUGACAGUUAAACAUAAUUCAGAAUUUUUAAUUUCAGAAGUUUAAAGUUUGAACAAAUUUCAAAAUUUGUUUUUAUUACAUUGCUAUUUAAUACAAAAACUCUUUAUGAAGAUAAGUUUGAAAGCAUAUAUAUAUAUAUAUAUAUAUAUAUUCACUACACAUUUUCUUUCUCUUGCAUAGAAAUAUCAAGCAAGGCACUCCCUGAAAAACAUAAAUAUUUUUAUAUAAUUUGCCUUUUGAAUUUGAAUGCCAAGUAACAUUCAUUCACUUAUACUAUAUUGAGAAUUCUGGAUUAAUUUAAAUAUAUUUUAUUACCAUGUAUAUUGUAUUAAGAAAUUAAUGAUCCUAUCUUGAAAUUACCCAUUUUUAUUCUCUAUUGAAAAAAAGUUUUUAGUCUUUUCAUCAACUUAAAAUUAGAAAUCUGCACUGAAUGGGGCAUGUUCUGAUUUAGUGCAGUAAAUUUUGGAGUCAAAUGAUAAAAGAAAGUACCAUUAAAAGGCACCUGUAGGGCUGGGGUUGUGGCUCAGUGGCAGAACCCUUGCCUAGCAUGUGUGAGGCACUGGGUUCAGUUCUCAACACCACAUAAAAAUAAAUAAAGGUCCACCAACAACUAAUAAAAUAUUUUUUAAAAGGCAUCUGUAUAGGAUAACAUAAAGAACCAAUCAAAUAUAAAUUAAUAGAAGAACAAAAGUGAAUCUAGUAGAGCAGAUGAAGGAGAAUGGGAGAGGAAAGGGAGGACAGGAGAGAAAAUGGGAAAUUAUGAACUGAAAUCGAUUUUCAUGCAUUUUUGUAGCCAAGCGCAGUGGUGUACUAUGGAUGUAGCUCAGUGGUAGAGCACUUGCCUGGCGUGCGUGAGGCCCUGGGUUCCAUCCCCAAUACUGGAGAAAAAAAAGUGUUGCUAAAAAAAAUUAAUUUUAAUACCUAGUUUACAUUUCUUUUGGUACUAAGGAUUGAACCCAAAGGCACUUUACAACUGUGCUCCAUCCACAGUUGUAAAGUGAGUCAGGGUUUUGCUAAGUUGCUCAGCCCAGCCUCAAACUUGCGGUCCUCCUGUCUCACCCUCAUAAGUAGCUGGGAUUACAGGCAUGAGCCACCACUGCCAGGCCCGAGUUUACAUUUUAAAGAUGUAAAAGCGUCAUAUACUAUAAACCUAUUAAAGUAUAUUAACAAGUAUCGAGGAUUUAUUACUCCUUUUUCCCCCCACCCUUUGGCUAGGAUGUUCGAACCCAGGGUAACUUUACCAUUGAACGAUACUCCAGAGGUACAGCUAUUUUGAGACAAGGUGUCUCCCUGAAUUGACAAGGCUGGCCUUGAACUUUCAAUUCUCCUGUCUCAGCCUUCUGAGCUGCUGGGAUCACAGGUGUGUGCUAUUGCACCCAGCCCUUCUUGCUACUUUUUAAAGAAAUGUUUAUUUUUUGUUUGAACAUGAGGGCAGAAAUAGAUUAUUAGAAAAAAAAAAGCAUAUUCAAACUUUAAAUGUUGACUUUCUUAAUAUUUUAUAACCUUUUUUUUUUCUUUUUUUCUUUUUUUUUUUUUUUUUUGGAGCUGGUGAUGCAUCUCUGUGCCUAGCAAACAUAAGGCCCUGUUUUUUAUCUCGGUGCCUCAAGGGAAAACAAGAUUUUCUUUGUAUAUUUCUUUAUAAAUUACUCUUCCUAUUCUUGAUUCUUGUUUCUGGAGGAAGUAAUAUGAGAAAAUAAGUUAGUUUUUGAAGAGAUUAAAACAAAAAUUAAGUGUGCCAUUUCAAUAAGUUAGUUGAGGCUUUUUAUUUAGAAAUGUUUCGUUUUCAGAAAUAUAUUUUAUAAUCCGUGUAAAUAAAACUGUACUAAAAUGCUUUGUGUGCGCUGUUUAUAAAAAUGAAGUCUUUUACAACGUAAACUUUUAUUCUUACUAUAAAAUGAUCUGUUUAUCAAACAUGUCACUUUGAAAUGCUGACCUCUGAUAUGGAAUACAUUUUAGUUUGCUCUUUUUUUUUUUUUAAGAGAGAGAGAGAAUUUUUUAAUAUUUAUUUUUAGUUUUUUGACGGACACAACAUCUUUGUAUGUGGUGCCGAGGAUCGAACCCUGGCCGCACACAUGCCAGACGAGCGCCGCUACCGCUUGAGCCACAUCCCCAGCCCUUAGUUUGCUCUUUAUAGCCUCUUUCCUCAUCUAUGCCAAGAAAAAAACUGAAAUCUUGUGGGUUCAUGUUUUUGUUACAAGGACUUAUUUUUAUUAUGGACAUAUGCCAUAUCCUAGUGAUCUAAAAAAAGAAAUAUGUAGUCUUUUCAUACAUUACAUUUGCACUGCCAUCUACUCCAAGAUAGACUUAUGUCUAGAAAUUUAAGAUAUGCUCAUAUCUUGAAUUUUCCUAUAAUUUUUAAUUAAUUUAUUGCCUGUUUUAAUUAUGUACCAAUAGUUAAAUUAAGAUGGGAUUUCUAUAACAUCAGUCAAAUAUUAUUUUAAUCUUAGAAUUGAGGCUUUGGAGUAUCAUAGUUUGAGAUUAUGUGCCAUCAUAGGUUUCAAGUGUCAGAAAUUAUACUUUGUUCAUUUGAGUAAUGAGGUGAUUGUUAUUUGAAGGGCAAGGUACUGUUACUUUACUCUUCUGAAUAAACUUCUUCAAUGACACAGUAUACCUUCUAUUAAACUAUGAAGCUCACAGAUUCUAGAGUGUAGUUCAAAAUAUCAAGAAAAAUAAAUGCUAGCUCUCACGGUUUGAUGUUAAAUAGAAAUAAAAUGUACAAAUAUAAAAGGAAAGAAAGAAUUUACUGAUAAGUGGACCUCCUAAGUAUAAAAUCCUGAGGAGUCACCAGAAAUGUUAUUGAAUUCUUAUUUUUAUCUUUUAACAAUAGAAAGGAUAUGCUCACACACAAAAAAAAUUAUAUACAGCAAGAAUAUUCAGAUAUGAAUAUUUGGAAAUUAUAUAAAGAAAUAUAAAAUAACAACAGAAAUAAUCUCAGAAGAAUGUGCAUGGGAACUGAAAAUGAAAACUACAAGAGAAAUAAGGCAAAAAAAAUUCUCAAGCUUAUCUAGAAGAAUAAAUAAAUAAAACAUAAUAAAGUUAGCAAAGAAGAAUAAUGAAAGAAAACCCACCCUAUCAAAUACUGGAACUUAUUUUAAAAGCAGUUACCUCUAAACAAUGUGAUAACAAGGAACAUAUAAGUAGGCAUUUUUAUAUGAUUUUAUUUUGAUAAAAUUAUGAAUAAAGGUAUAACAAUUUGAAAAGUGACAACCUCUAGUAAUAUUGAAGCAACAGGCUCUUAAACAGCAUUUUGCAAAAUAUGCCCUACAUGAUUCUGUGAUGAUGGAUAUCAAAGUUAAAAAUGCCCAUAAUCCAGGCAAUUUGAGAAAUUCUAGGUUAAUGAUAAUGUUUUUUACAAAAUGAUUUCUUCAAAAUUAAAAAAAUAUGCUGUGACUCAAGAGUUAUAUAUGUGUUUUAAACAGAAGGAAACUAAAUCAGAAUAACUUGCAGGAUUCAGCUUCUUUGGAAUACUCUGGGAAGUACUAUUAAAAUUUUAAUUUUGGGACUAGGGUUGGCUCAGCAGCAGAGCACUCACCUAGCACGUGCAAGGUGCUGGGUUCGAUCCUCAGCAUCACAUAAAAAUAAAUAAAUAAAGGUAUUGUGUUCAACUACAACUAAGAUUUAGUUUUGUUCCUUUCCCUCCCACUAGAUACCAAAAAGAUCAGUUACAACUAAAAUGUAAAAUCAUGAAAACAAAAUAGAAACUGGGAAUUUAUAUAUAUUCAUCACAACUGUAGAUGCCUCUAUGAACAAUGGUAAAAGGGAAAUAGUAGCAUAGUUGUAUGAAAGUAAAGAGAUUAAAGGUAUGAAAAACUAAACAAAAACUUGGGGGAAAGAUUGCUGCAAAGAUGGUCAGUAGAGAUAGCAUACAAAUUAAUUUUAAAUAAAUAAAAUCUUAUUAAUAGUGCUAGGGGUAUAGCUCACUGGUUGCCUAGCAUGCACAAGGCUCUAGGUUUGAACCCAGCACCAAGGAUGAAGAAAGAGAUUAAUCCUUACAAAUAGGCAAUGGACAUAGUUCACUGGAAACUUAACUAGUAUAUAGACUGAAAUAGGUUUACAGCAUCCAUAAUCAAAUAUCAGUGAAAUUCAACUCCUGAUGUGUCUUAUCCCCAAGGGAUUUCUUCCUCCUACUCAGUAUGUGUAUUUUGCAUGUGCUCCUUAAAAAUCCUAUUUAAAGUUUCAAGAAAAAUCUUUUAAGUUCUGAUGUGUGUGAAUUAAACAUCACUCUAGUUCUGCCAAGCACUAUAUACUGUUUGGGGAUUAGCUGUUCCACAUUCAUUCUCUCUUUCUCUUCUAGUUUCCAUUCUGUGAUGGUGCUCACACAAAACAUAACGAAGAGACUGGAGACAACGUGGGACCUCUGAUUGUCAAGAAAAAAGAAAGUUAAACGGACAAUUUUGAUGCUGCAGACCAACUUGUCAUGAUGUUACCUGAUAAUUUAAUUAGAAUGACUACCACUUCUGUCUAAUUUACCUCCCCUGCGUUCUAGAUGUGUGGUAUAUUGCAAACCUCACCUUUCACAUUCAUGGCAUUUGCCUUACUUGUUGAAACAUCGUGGUGCACAUUUGUUUAAACAAAAAAGGAAAACCAACCUUAUGGCCUAUGGGUUAUUUUGGUCUUGUAAGGAUCCGUUUCUUUAAAUUUAAAAUAAUGGUAUUAGACUAUAGUUGUAUCUUGAGGUUGGUGUAUUAAAUUAUUCUCAAAAUCAUGUAUAUGCAGAUUGUACUUGGAAGUUUCAAAGAAAAUUUUAUCGCCUUUUCAUAUUGCUUAUUUGACCUAGAAAGUGAACAGGGUGUGAUUAAGCUACAUUAAUUUCGUAGUAUAGUCUUAAGAAAAACCUGUUAUAACCUUGAUUUUCUUCUUGACAGUGGUAAUAACACUAAGAAAAUACAGCUUCUGUGUUUUCAACGUUUUCAAUUUAAAUGAACUAUGAAUGUCACUCUACUUAAUUAUAAGUUGACCAGGUCAGUAAUAAAGGGGCAGCAACUUCCUUUGUGUUUAUCUUUAUGGAUAUUUAAUUGAUCCAUUAAAAGAACAAAUAGUAGGAAUUUAGAUCACAGUGAGAAUAGGUUAAAAGUAGUCAUGAAGAAUGUCUUAAAAUAUAAUGCUCCAGAAUUCUAGACCAAGGAGUGGCAAGCACUGGAACUAAGGACGUGGAAGAAACUGAAGCACACAUUUCAAGUCUCUUAAUCACAAAGCCAAACAUCUGUGACGGAAAUAGUAGUCAUAAGACUAGAUCAAAGAUGGGGGAAAAUUUUUUAUUCCUCACUCUGGAUAAUCAAACACAUGGCUUAUAUUAGUAAAGAUACUAUUUGGGAAAGAAAAAAGAAAUUUAUCCUCUUAAAUUGUAUGAUCUUUAUUCUUCAAAGAUUUGAAGACAAAGUGUUUAUGUAAUAUUCUUCAAGACUCAGAUCAGGGCUGGGAUUGUAGGUCAGUGGUACAGUGCUUGCACAAGUGAGGCACUAGAUUCAAUCUUCAGCACCCCAUAAAAAUAAAUAAAUAAAAGGUAUUGUGUCCAUCUGCAACUUAAAAAAAGACUCAGACCAAAAGUAUUUCAUUCACUGCCAAUUAAAAAAAAAUGUGUGUGUAUAUAUAUAUAUAUAUAUAUAUAUAUAUAUAUAUACACACACACACAUACACACACACAUACACUAGAAGCAAUGGAAUAAUUAAGAAAUAGCUUUUUAUGUGUGUAUUUUUUUUUUCCCCUUGGCACUGGGGAUUACACCCAGGGGCACCUUACUGGUAAUCACAUCCCCAGCCCCUUUUUGUUUGAGAUGGUCUCACUAAAUUGCCUAGGCUGCCUUCAAAUGUGAAAUCCUCUUACCUUAGCCUCCCAAGUCGCUGGGAUUAUAGACAGCACCACUACGCUUGGACAUAUAUAAAAUCUAGGCUGUGUAUGUGUGGCUUUGAUUUGAGGAUCUUAUAGGUUAGAAGGGAAAGUCAUGAUACAAUUUGGGGCACACAAUUUGAAAUGGUAAAACAGUCAUUUGUACAUUUGAAUUCUCAGUUAACUAUCAGUCACAAGUUUCUAUGUGCUAAAAUUCAGGUACCUUAGAAGUCACAGGAAUCAAUGAAACCAGACAGCACUCCUAAAGGUUAGGUUUGGGGUAGAAGGUUGUUUUUUAUGGUGCUGGGGGUAGAACCCAAGGCUUUGUGCAUGCAAGGCAUGCAAGCAUUCUACCACUGAACUACAUCCCCAGCCUCUGAUUCUAACAUUUUUUAAAUGUAUAAUUUAACGUACUACGGUACAUAAAGGUUGAUGUCAUAAUUAUGUGCAUUUGCCUCUGUGAAAGGUUGAUGUCAUAAUUAUGUGCAUUUGCCUCUGUGACUGACCUGGACAUGUCUUCAGGACACAUCUCCAAGCAAAAUCUAAAAUCUACCCUGAUUCUAUCAGAUUCUUAGGGUAAAAUUUUUUCCAUGCCCAUACUCCUUUUUUAAAAUAAGUAUGAAUGGGUCAGCAAAAGAGAUCAUCAUGCUUUUAAAACGUAAUUAUUUUAAAGAAAAAUCCAUAACACUCAGUUUCUGAUAAAGGGACAUCCUUUUAAUGGGAAUAAACUAUAUUCUUCAUUUUGAAUUUGAAACUGUUAUGCUUUUUUAUAAUUGGGGCUAGUAACAAUUUCAGAACUAUAAGUGUAUAUAUGUAUGUGAUGAAAUUUGAGAUGACCUACCGUACUAUGAAAUACAAAUAUUGAACAUUUUGAUAAUUCAAGAUAAUUAGGUAAAUGUAGUUUCCAAGUCCUGUUAAAAUUUUAUCACAGGCUUUUGAACUAAUUCAUUUAUAACAAUAAAACAUUCUGUUAAUUAUAAAAAUAAAGUGUUUAUGGUUAGGUUAAUGCAAGAUUCUUUACAUACACACAAAAUUGUGUGCAGUUACUGAUCUAGUUAAAGCACCUUAGAGCUUCAAAGUGCCUUUUCAUUUAUCAGGCAAUUGGAGUGCCUUUUUUCUCAAUAUAAUUUAUGUCUUAGGGAUUUCUGUUAGAUCUGUUAGGUUGAGAGGGUUUUAAUGUAAAGAAUCUUGUUUUGCAGUGAUCUUGAUGGACAUCUAUUCUUGCAACAGACAUGUAUUAGACUAAGGACCAUAUAAUGGAGAAUGAAGCAUUUUAGAGAAUUAGCAGCUCAUAGUUUGGAUUAUAUAAUUUAUGACAUAGAUUAUAUAAUUAUAGCAAUUCUAAUUCAGGAUUAUUUUUCUUGAUAAAUUAUGACAAGUACCACCAAAUAUACUAAACAGUUCUACUAAGUAGGUGGGAUUACCUGAUUUGAUAUUUUUUGGGCUGGGGAUAUAGCUCAGUUGGUAGACUGCUUGCCUCACAUGCACAAGGCCCUAGGUUCAAUCCCCAGCACCAAAAAAAAAAAAAAAAUAUAUAUAUAUAUAUAUAUAUAUAUAUAUAUAUAUAUAAUGAAGGUGUUUGGUGUGGUAAAUAUCGACUAACUUUAUUAAUUGACAAUAUAUGUAGUGAUUGAAUUUCAGGGAUGGUGUAUGCUACUAGUUGUUAGAAGCUAUGAUUUCUCUCUCCAAUUAAAAAAAAAAUGACCUCAAGCUAUGCCACUCAUCCCUCAACCUUUUAAGCAAAAUUGGUUAAAGUAAAUGGUAUUGAUUUAGGCCCUUAUCCCCAAAUUCUAGGCCAAGAUUAAAAUUUCAGCUAUCCAUAGAGGGGGAAAACUGCUAAAAGAAGGUUGUCAACUCAAACAUUUAAUAUGAGAUUAUCCCAACUUUUAUAGUACCUGUGUUUCCUUUCUUUAAUGAAAUGAUAGUAAUGUUACUUGCUUUAAAUAUAUUUUUGGUGGGGCUGGAGAUAUAGCUCAGUUGGUAGAGUGCUUGCCUUGCACAUAGGGCCUUGGGUUCAAUCCCCAGCACCACCAAAACAAACAAACAAAAAGUCUCCUUGGCAAAAUGUUAGAAGCUCUGUCUGUAUUGGUCCCUACUAUUUUUUUUUUUUUUUGAAUUUUGAUAUUUAUUUUCUAUUUAGUUUUCGGUGGACACAACAUCUUUGUAUGUGGUGCUGAGGAGGAUCGAACCCGGGCCGCACGCAUGCCAGGCGAGCGCGCUACCGCUUGAGCCACAUCCCCAGCCCCCUACUAUUUUUUUAACAGCUCCACAAAAUGUAAAAGUCUAAGCCAAGUUCUAUCAAAGUUCUGAGACAUGUUAUUUCAUUAUUAACAGUUUUGAUAUGUAGUUUGUGUGAAAUUUUUCAUAUCUGAUUAUUAGCACAAUGUCUUGAGGCUUCAUGAAAGUUACUGUAAAGAAAAGCAAAAUUUAUUUUCACUCACUUUACUAGCAUGAAUCCAAACUAAAGGCCAUGCCAAUUUAUCCUGUCCCUUUCACAGCCUGUCACUUUAAAUGAUUAAACCACACAACAUGGAAUUCACAAAGGAUGAGUGUUAACUGUGGGAAGGCAUACACCCAACAAUAAAUCCACAUUUUUUUUUGCAAAUGUUCACAGCACCUUUAUUCAUAAUUAUCUCAAGAAUGGAAGCAAGCAAGAUGUUUUUUAAUAAGAGGAUAGAUGAACAAACCAUGGUGAAUAUAUCCAGUGGGAUAUUUAUCAAUAUUAAGACAAACAUAAAAAGUUAGCAAUCAAGCCAUGAACAAAUGUAAAUACACAUUUUUGUGGGUUUAAGAAAUCUGAGCUGGAGCCAGACAUGGUGGCUCAGGCCUGUAAUCCCAGAGACUUGGGAGGCUGAGGCAGAAGGAUAGCAAGUUUGAAGCCAGCCUCAGCAAUUUAGCAAGGCCCUAAGCAACUUAGCAAGACCUUGUCUCAAAACAAAAAGAGUUGGAGAUGUGGCUCAGUGGUGAAGUGCCUCUUUUGUACCUAAACAAGAAAUCUGGGCUGGGGCAACUUGAAGAACUGAAGCAGGAGGAUCACAAAUUCAAAGCCAGCCUCAGCAACUUAGACCCUGUCUCAAAAAAAGGGGGAUGGGGAUGCAGCUCCCUAGUAAAGGGCCUAAUCCCUAGUACUAUAAAAAGUAAAAAAAGAAAUCUGGGCUGGGGACAUAGCUUAAUGGUAGAGUGCCUAGCAUGUGCAAGGCCCUGGGUUUGAUUCCCAGCACCACAAAAAAAAAAAAAAAGUUUCAUAAAUAAAGGAAAUGCAUAUAUUAGCUGAAGUUACCAGGAAAGUGGAAAGACUAAGCCUCAAACAUGGACCAGAAGAAUGCCAAGCUUAAAAUGUCAGCCAAGCAUUUUGUGAGACACUCCUCACUUUUAGUAAUACCUGCAUCUGAGAAUAACAUACUCCUUUCUAGUUCUUCCAAACUAUCUCAGGAUAUCCAUAAGUCAAUUUCUAUCAAGAUCUGAAGCUUAACGUGAGAUUAUGUAAAUAUCACAGGGUUGUACAGAUUCCCAGCUUUGUUAGGUAAUACUGCCUACAACAUGUUCACUACUGGGUUAGACAGAGGCUCCUCUGUGUAUGUCAGACAGGAGAGAUGAUGUCUCUUCUGGCUCUGUCAUCCAUUAAGCUUAGUUGAAUCUGUUAAAUUCAUUUCAAAACCUCCCAACCAUGAAAGGUGAAGUUCACUUAUAUAAUCUGUCCCUGUACAGUAAUCCUUCUUCUUUAUCCUAACAUUUCUUAACACAGUGUUCCUCUCAUUCUAGAGAAGGCUGUGUUUUCACCUUAAUACUGUGGUUUUAGUUUUUAAAUUUCUCAGCCAUCAUUUUUCCACUGUAGUAGAUUUCACUUUCCACUUCUCAUCCCUUAAAGAGCGGUGUGAUCAUCACUUAAUGCAACCUCAUUCCUUUCUCCCUGCCCCCACCCUCACCUCCAUCCUCUCCCAUUUCUGGGUACUGAGGGUGGAACCCAGGGGCACUCUACCACUGAGCUACAUCCCCAGCCCUUUUUAUUUUUAUUUUGAGACGGGGUCUCACUAAGUGCCCAGACUGGCCCUGAACUUGCAAUCAUCUUGCCUCAGCCUCCUGAGUCAAUGGGACUCCAGGCUUGUGCCACUGUGUCCAGAUCCCUUUCUCUCAAUAUUAUUUCUCUUAGAAUCCAGAAGGAAACUGCUUCUAGCAUGGAAGCCCAUAUAAUGUUUAAAUUGCUGUUUUACUGCUUCAGUCGUGACCCGGGACGCCACCUAGUGUGGAAUCUCUGAUAAUGAAAAUAUUAAACCAUAAGCUACAUUUUAUAUUUUAAAAUUGUCAGCAGGAUAUACACCUGACUUGAGUCCCUGGUCCUGAAGUAACAUUGUACCCCUCAAAAUUUGAUCCCUUAAUAACAGUUUACAUAUCUAUAAUUUCCUGAUAGUUUUGGCAGCUGGUUUGGGAAAUCAUUGGUAGUAAUGUUCCAGGACUUACUGAUGUUUAACUCGUGAGAAAGAAAUAAUAAGUCAAAUUUUGAGCAUUAAGGUAUUCUCAGUACCUAGAACAGUUAUAAGCACAUAGAAGAUGUUCAAUAAAACUUGUUUCAAUUAAUAGAUUUGAAUGCAAUUUUUAAAAGUCACAAAGAUAAUUGCCAAAAAGUAUUUCUGUUUAUUCUUCCCCAAACCCUGAUACUUCUUUUCCAUACUGAAAAUGUACUGAAUAGUUAUCUUAUCCUAACAAGAUUGGCUAUUAUUUAGGUUACCUAAUCAACAUUCCUGUGGCUAACUAAACUGGUGGUAUAAAGACCAACCAACAAAAACCACUAUCCAGGGCUGGGGCUGUAACUCAGUGGUAACACACUUGUCUGGCAUGUAUGAGGCCCUGGGUUGACAGCCACCACCAAAAAAAAAAAAAAGGAAAACUGCUCUCCAGGGUAGCUCAUUUUAAGCCAGUAUCACAUGGUGCAUUAUAUUUAGGGGGACAUACAGUACAUGGUUCUUUCAAACCCAUGGACAGCACUGUAAGAAACAACGGCAGGGGGUCUUCCCUACACUGGGCAGCAACUUCCUUGCUACAAUCCCUCACCGGAGAAGGAACACCUGCUCCCAGGUCGUCUCCACUCCCUACUUGGUCCUGAGCACCCUUCAGCUCUAUGCAGCAAGGCUGAAAUGAACAGACACUGACAGAUGACAGCUUCAGAACCUUGGCAGUCUCCCAUUCCCCUGACCUCACUUGUCCCUAGCCGCAGCUUUUAAAGCAGCACCUUUUCAAGGGACAUGGACACAGCAAUCAGCAGCUGCCUCGCCAUCAGCGGUGCCAGGAACACUCCUCUGCGGCAGUGGCCUUUCUCCUAUGUCAUUCUGGGUUUUCCCUCUCAGAGGUUGCAGGGCCCUCUGCCUGCUGGUGGCCUUUCUCAUCUUCUUCAGCAUGUGAAGAUGUUCUCUCCAUUUCCCGUUGUUCUUUCUCAUGUCUACCCUAUAUGUUCCUUUUCCCAUACCUUCACUGGGUAGUCUGGGGGAAAUGGUUGACUAGGUUUUUAAUAAAGGGGGGAAAAAUACUGUGGUACAAAGAGAAGAAGUGGGGGUUGGGGAGUCUGCUUGCCGCUGGGUAAAAGGCUAAACUUUUUGGUGUUGGUCAGCCUAGAAGGCCUGCUGGGUACUUUUUUUCCCUCCUUGGGGCAGGGUGGAUGGGUGCAACAAUCACAGGUUUUUAAAUCGGAUUUGAUUCAAAUCCCUGCUCUACUCUUCAUUAGGUAAAAUCUUGAAGAAGUUAUCUUCUAUGAUGGUUAAUUUUAUGUGUCACCACAGGGUGCCCAGAUAUUGGGUCAAAUAUUCUUCUGAGAGUUUAUGAGUGUUUGGGGAAGAGCUUAACGUUUUAAUUGUUAGAUUGGAUGAAGCAGAUGGCUUUCCCUAGAGUAGGUGGGCCUUGUGCAGUCCUCUGGAGACCUGAAUAGAACAAAAAUCUGACUGUCCUCCAGGAAGAGAGAAUUCUUCUUGCCUGACUGCCUGUCUUUGAACUGAAUGGUCUCUCCCUGGGUCUCAAGCCUGCUGGCCUUCAGACAAACUAUACCAUCUGCUCUCCUGGGGCUCCCAGGCUUGCUGACUCACCCUACAGAUCUUGUCAGCCUCUGUAAUCUGGUGAGCAGAUUCCUCAUGAAACAUCUAUUUUUGCCUCUCUCCCUCUCCCUCUCUCUCUCCUUCUCUCCCUCUCCGUCUCUCUCCAUCCUCUAGGUUCUGUUUCUCUUGAGGAUCCUAACCAACAUGACCUCUUUCUUUUCUCUCUUUCUUUCAGCAUGUGAAAGGGGAAUUAUACCUACCCUAGGAGGGUUACAGAUACUGAAUUUACCCAUCCAUCAUGGUAUCUCAUAAUACAUACCAGUUUGGCUUCCUUACCCUAAAACAUGUCACCUGCUAAAAGCAGCACAGAGACUCAGAGUGGUUUCUUACAUAAUACAGAGAAAUGAUUGACCAUUGCUAAUUUUAUUUUGUUAACAUUCCCAAGAUAAUUUUCUACAAAUGUCCCCUAUUUUCUGUAUGAGAAAGAGAUUUAAAAAUAAAAUCAGUUUUUUCAAGUUAGAAGAUCUUUCCACAGUGAUUUCUACAAAUAAUUAUUGAACACCAACUGUUUGCCAGGUAACAAGACCAAAAUUAAUCCCUACCCUCACUGAGUUUAUCAAUUAGUCAACACACAAUCCCCCACUCAACUCUUAGUGUGGGGGGAAAGUUAGUGUAAAAGACAAGUAAUCAGGCCAUUAGUAAGAUGAUUAGAGACAUGAAGUGGAAGAGAUAAGAACAAAAGCAACAGACUCAUCAAGUGAAAGCAGGAAAAAGGACUAAACUGAGGUAGAAGAGGUUGGUCUUCCUUGUCUUGGCCAAAACUUGAAAGGACUUGCAUUUAACCAUGACCCCUUUCCUGGAGAGGAAAAAAAAAAAAAAAAGUGAAAUCAAUGGUGGCUAUGUAUUGUUGUCUUUGCCUAAUUAAGAAAUACCUGAUGCAGGUGGAAAUGUCUGGUGAUCUCAGUACAAAUAGUGUUAAGGUGUUUAAAUUUGUUAAUUGAUACAUAGCAACAUUAACUUUGUACACAUUAAUGGAGUAACUUGUGAUGUUUCAAUACAUGUAUAUAUUGUGUGAUGUUUAAAUCAGG